AGCGGCGGACGGGUGAGUAACACGUGGGUAACCUGCCCAAGAGACUGGGAUAACACCUGGAAACAGAUGCUAAUACCGGAUAACAACACUAGACGCAUGUCUAGAGUUUGAAAGAUGGUUCUGCUAUCACUCUUGGAUGGACCUGCGGUGCAUUAGCUAGUUGGUAAGGUAACGGCUUAUCAAGGCAAUGAUGCAUAGCCGAGUUGAGAGACUGAUCGGCCACAUUGGGACUGAGACACGGCCCAAACUCCUACGGGAGGCAGCAGUAGGGAAUCUUCCACAAUGGACGAAAGUCUGAUGGAGCAACGCCGCGUGAGUGAAGAAGGGUUUCGGCUCGUAAAGCUCUGUUGGUAGUGAAGAAAGAUAGAGGUAGUAACUGGCCUUUAUUUGACGGUAAUUACUUAGAAAGUCACGGCUAACUACGUGCCAGCAGCCGCGGUAAUACGUAGGUGGCAAGCGUUGUCCGGAUUUAUUGGGCGUAAAGCGAGUGCAGGCGGUUCAAUAAGUCUGAUAUGAAAGCCUUCGGCUCAACCGGAGAAUUGCAUCAGAAACUGUUGAACUUGAGUGCAGAAGAGGAGAGUGGAACUCCAUGUGUAGCGGUGGAAUGCGUAGAUAUAUGGAAGAACACCAGUGGCGAAGGCGGCUCUCUGGUCUGCAACUGACGCUGAGGCUCGAAAGCAUGGGUAGCGAACAGGAUUAGAUACCCUGGUAGUCCAUGCCGUAAACGAUGAGUGCUAAGUGU
This 742-nucleotide ribosomal RNA is filed under the name uncultured bacterium. RNAcentral describes it as "bacterial SSU rRNA". It matches the Rfam family "Bacterial small subunit ribosomal RNA", at positions 94 to 823 of the family's 1533-position model. The record is from RNAcentral.